Molecule: long non-coding RNA, 1092 nt
Filed under: Homo sapiens (human)
Lineage: Eukaryota; Metazoa; Chordata; Mammalia; Primates; Hominidae
Description: long non-coding RNA NONHSAT212118.1
Source: RNAcentral
GAGCUUCUCUUCUCCAAACUGUUGGUCUUUCACAAUGAAAAGAGUUUGGCCUCAACAAGUGAACAAGGACCAAGGGUAACUAAACAGCUCAGGCAGACACAAAAGCCUGGUUGUUGCAACCGAAUUGACUUAGCAUUUACUGCGUUUUAAAACUCAAAUCCAUUUGGUAAGGGGGCCUAAUCAUCUAAGAAAAACAGUCAUGUGAAGAAACAGGAUGCUGCAUCUGAUUGAUUUAUAAAAGCAUCAGGUUACUGAAGUUUUAGCCAGCUCAUAGGAAAAAUACUUUCCCAUUUACUCCCCAUUUCCUUCACGUCAGGAUAAACUCAUUCCCACACUACAAAAUAUGCCUUCAAAAUCCCAUACCCUGCAUGAGACCAAAUUCUUUGGCUUUUGGAGGGCUUUCUCCACAGCCUGAAAUUGAUUCCUGACAGCAGUUCCUUUGUGGCUUUGCUCAAACAAACUCGGAAUCUUUUGGCUCAUGGCACCAGCAGUAAUUGAAAGAAGAUACCACCACUGUUUUGUACAUUCAUGGAGCUGCUCAGGAGAAAUGUGCUUUCUUUCCUGAUCAAGGCUUUACUGCACUGCAAUUGUCUUUGGUCCCAUGUAAGCAUGUUUAUCGUUCCUAACAUCCCUUUUGCUGUUGUUGUUUAGUUGUUUUACUUUUUUAUUUUUCAAGGAUAAUUUCAAUAAUAUUGCCAUGUACACAAUGGCAUGUUACAUAUAAAUAUGUCAACAUAAUGUCUAUAACUUAUUAUAUCUGGGUAUUUAUAGCAGAAACAUAGACAGUCAUAAAUACAUACUCAGGAAAUUCCGGGCUAUUUCUGAUUUUCAAACACAUGUAAUAUGUGGUCUCAUUGAGAGUUUUCUCUGUUGUUUCUGGAGAACAUUAUUUACACAGCCAGAAAACAAAAACUUUUUUAAAAGUACAACUAAUUUUAAUAUGAAGAGGAAUCUGCUUUUGCUUUGUAAAGGUGUAUUUUCUGUAGAAAUAUUGAACUGACAAGGGUGUGAAGGAAAAGUAUUUUCCAAGAGAAGGCAAAUGUGGAACUAGAUAGAAAAGAAUGAAUUAGAAAAUUAUGUAGAUUUUGGAAG